This is a non-coding RNA of Lupinus angustifolius (narrow-leaved blue lupine), 141 nucleotides long. The record is from Rfam. NCBI's taxonomy places the organism in Eukaryota, Viridiplantae, Streptophyta, Magnoliopsida, Fabales, Fabaceae.
GUUGUCGACAGCUCGUGCCGUAAGGUGUUGGGUUAAGUCCCACAACGAGCGCAACCCUUGUGUUUAUUUGCCAAUGUCGAGUUUGGAACCCUAAGCAGAUUGUCGGUGAUAAGUCAGAGGAAGUUCCAAUUAGAGUCAAUU